RNAcentral lists this ribosomal RNA (253 nucleotides) under uncultured prokaryote. RNAcentral's name for it is "partial 16S ribosomal RNA". It matches the Rfam family "Bacterial small subunit ribosomal RNA", at positions 524 to 776 of the family's 1533-position model. The record is from RNAcentral.
UACGUAGGUGGCAAGCGUUGUCCGGAAUUAUUGGGCGUAAAGCGCGCGCAGGUGGUUCUUUAAGUCUGAUGUGAAAGCCCCCGGCUCAACCGGGGAGGGUCAUUGGAAACUGGGGAACUUGAGUGCAGAAGAGGAAAGUGGAAUUCCACGUGUAGCGGUGAAAUGCGUAGAGAUGUGGAGGAACACCAGUGGCGAAGGCGACUUUCUGGUCUGUAACUGACACUGAGGCGCGAAAGCGUGGGGAGCGAACAGG